This 137-nucleotide ribosomal RNA is filed under the name Xystocheir solenofurcata. Its description in RNAcentral is "partial small subunit ribosomal RNA". The record is from RNAcentral. Lineage: Eukaryota; Metazoa; Arthropoda; Diplopoda; Polydesmida; Xystodesmidae.
AGAGUGGAUUUAUUAGUAAUUAGAUUUUAUUAUUAUUUGAUGGAUUGUGGUAUAGCAUGUGUACAUAUUGCCCGUCGCUCUCUGUUUAGGAGAUAAGUCGUAACAUAGUUGAUUUACUGGAAAGUGAGUCUUUUUGU